GAUGAACGCUGGCGGCGUGCCUAAUACAUGCCAGUCGAGCGAACAGACGAGGAGCUUGCUCCUCUGACGUUAGCGGCGGACGGGUGAGUAACACGUGGAUAACCUACCUAUAAGACUGGGAUAACUUCGGGAAACCGGAGCUAAUACCGGAUAAUAUUUUGAACCGCAUGGUUCAAAAGUGAAAGACGGUUUUGCUGUCACUUAUAGAUGGAUCCGCGCUGCAUUAGCUAGUUGGUAAGGUAACGGCUUACCAAGGCAACGAUGCGUAGCCGACCUGAGAGGGGGACCGGCCACACUGGAACUAGGACAAGGUCCAGACUCCUACGGGAGGCAGCAGUAGGGAAUCUUCCGCAAUGGGCGAAAGCGUGACGGAGCAACGCCGCGUGAGUGAUGAAGGUCUUCGGAUCGUAAAACUCUGUUAUUAGGGAAGAACAAAUGUGUAAGUAACUAUGCACGUCUUGACGGUACCUGAUCAGAAAGCCACGGCUAACUACGUG
Molecule: ribosomal RNA, 497 nt
Filed under: uncultured bacterium
Lineage: Bacteria
Description: partial 16S ribosomal RNA
Rfam family: Bacterial small subunit ribosomal RNA
Source: RNAcentral